UACGGAGGGUGCGAGCGUUGUCCGGAAUCACUGGGCGUAAAGGGCGCGUAGGCGGCCUGGUAAGUAGGGGGUGAAAUCCUGCGGCUUAACCGCAGGGCUGCCUUCUAAACUGUCAGGCUCGAGCACAGUAGAGGCAGGUGGAAUUCCCGGUGUAGCGGUGGAAUGCGUAGAGAUCGGGAAGAACAUCAGUGGCGAAGGCGGCCUGCCGGGCUGUUGCUGACGCUGAGGCGCGACAGCGUGGGGAGCAAACAGG
Molecule: ribosomal RNA, 253 nt
Filed under: uncultured bacterium
Lineage: Bacteria
Description: partial 16S ribosomal RNA
Rfam family: Bacterial small subunit ribosomal RNA
Source: RNAcentral